Molecule: ribosomal RNA, 2883 nt
Filed under: Vibrio cholerae CP1046(19)
Lineage: Bacteria; Pseudomonadati; Pseudomonadota; Gammaproteobacteria; Vibrionales; Vibrionaceae
Description: bacterial LSU rRNA
Rfam family: Bacterial large subunit ribosomal RNA
Source: RNAcentral
UUAAGUGACUAAGCGUACACGGUGGAUGCCUGGGCAGUCAGAGGCGAUGAAGGACGUACUAACUUGCGAUAAGCGCAGAUAAGGCAGUAAGAGCCGUUUGAGUCUGCGAUUUCCGAAUGGGGAAACCCAACUGCAUAAGCAGUUACUGUUAACUGAAUACAUAGGUUAACAGAGCAAACCGGGGGAACUGAAACAUCUAAGUACCCCGAGGAGAAGAAAUCAACCGAGAUUCCGGUAGUAGCGGCGAGCGAACCUGGAUUAGCCCUUAAGCACUCGGUGAAGUAGGUGAACAAGCUGGAAAGCUUGGCGAUACAGGGUGAUAGCCCCGUAACCGACGCUUCAUCGAGCGUGAAAUCGAGUAGGGCGGGACACGUGAUAUCCUGUCUGAAUAUGGGGGACCAUCCUCCAAGGCUAAAUACUCCUGACUGACCGAUAGUGAACCAGUACCGUGAGGGAAAGGCGAAAGAACCCCUGUGAGGGGAGUGAAAUAGAACCUGAAACCGUGUACGUACAAGCAGUAGGAGCACCUUCGUGGUGUGACUGCGUACCUUUUGUAUAAUGGGUCAGCGACUUAUAUUCAGUGGCAAGGUUAACCGUAUAGGGGAGCCGUAGCGAAAGCGAGUCUUAACUGGGCGCUCAGUCUCUGGAUAUAGACCCGAAACCGGGUGAUCUAGCCAUGGGCAGGUUGAAGGUUGAGUAACAUCAACUGGAGGACCGAACCGACUAAUGUUGAAAAAUUAGCGGAUGACUUGUGGCUAGGGGUGAAAGGCCAAUCAAACUCGGAGAUAGCUGGUUCUCCCCGAAAGCUAUUUAGGUAGCGCCUCGGACGAAUACUACUGGGGGUAGAGCACUGUUAAGGCUAGGGGGUCAUCCCGACUUACCAACCCUUUGCAAACUCCGAAUACCAGUAAGUACUAUCCGGGAGACACACGGCGGGUGCUAACGUCCGUCGUGGAGAGGGAAACAACCCAGACCGCCAGCUAAGGUCCCAAAGUAUUGCUAAGUGGGAAACGAUGUGGGAAGGCUCAGACAGCUAGGAUGUUGGCUUAGAAGCAGCCAUCAUUUAAAGAAAGCGUAAUAGCUCACUAGUCGAGUCGGCCUGCGCGGAAGAUGUAACGGGGCUAAGCAAUACACCGAAGCUGCGGCAAUGUCUUUUAGACAUUGGGUAGGGGAGCGUUCUGUAAGCCGUUGAAGGUGAAUCGUAAGGUUUGCUGGAGGUAUCAGAAGUGCGAAUGCUGACAUGAGUAACGACAAAGGGGGUGAAAAACCUCCUCGCCGGAAGACCAAGGGUUCCUGUCCAACGUUAAUCGGGGCAGGGUGAGUCGACCCCUAAGGUGAGGCCGAAAGGCGUAAUCGAUGGGAAACGGGUUAAUAUUCCCGUACUUCUGACUAUUGCGAUGGGGGGACGGAGAAGGCUAGGUGGGCCAGGCGACGGUUGUCCUGGUUCAAGUGCGUAGGCUUGAGAGUUAGGUAAAUCCGGCUCUCUCUAAGGCUGAGACACGACGUCGAGCUACUACGGUAGUGAAGUCAUUGAUGCCAUGCUUCCAGGAAAAGCCUCUAAGCUUCAGAUAGUCAGGAAUCGUACCCCAAACCGACACAGGUGGUCGGGUAGAGAAUACCAAGGCGCUUGAGAGAACUCGGGUGAAGGAACUAGGCAAAAUGGUACCGUAACUUCGGGAGAAGGUACGCUCUUGAUGGUGAAGUCCCUCGCGGAUGGAGCUGACGAGAGUCGCAGAUACCAGGUGGCUGCAACUGUUUAUUAAAAACACAGCACUGUGCAAAAUCGCAAGAUGACGUAUACGGUGUGACGCCUGCCCGGUGCCGGAAGGUUAAUUGAUGGGGUUAGCGCAAGCGAAGCUCUUGAUCGAAGCCCCGGUAAACGGCGGCCGUAACUAUAACGGUCCUAAGGUAGCGAAAUUCCUUGUCGGGUAAGUUCCGACCUGCACGAAUGGCGUAAUGAUGGCCACGCUGUCUCCACCCGAGACUCAGUGAAAUUGAAAUCGCUGUGAAGAUGCAGUGUACCCGCGGCUAGACGGAAAGACCCCGUGAACCUUUACUACAGCUUGGCACUGAACAUUGAACCUACAUGUGUAGGAUAGGUGGGAGGCUAUGAAGACGUGACGCCAGUUGCGUUGGAGCCGUCCUUGAAAUACCACCCUUGUAUGUUUGAUGUUCUAACUUAGACCCAUUAUCUGGGUUGAGGACAGUGCCUGGUGGGUAGUUUGACUGGGGCGGUCUCCUCCCAAAGAGUAACGGAGGAGCACGAAGGUGGGCUAAUCACGGUUGGACAUCGUGAGGUUAGUGCAAUGGCAUAAGCCCGCUUAACUGCGAGAAUGACGGUUCGAGCAGGUGCGAAAGCAGGUCAUAGUGAUCCGGUGGUUCUGUAUGGAAGGGCCAUCGCUCAACGGAUAAAAGGUACUCCGGGGAUAACAGGCUGAUACCGCCCAAGAGUUCAUAUCGACGGCGGUGUUUGGCACCUCGAUGUCGGCUCAUCACAUCCUGGGGCUGAAGUCGGUCCCAAGGGUAUGGCUGUUCGCCAUUUAAAGUGGUACGCGAGCUGGGUUUAGAACGUCGUGAGACAGUUCGGUCCCUAUCUGCCGUGGGCGUUGGAAGAUUGAAGGGGGCUGCUCCUAGUACGAGAGGACCGGAGUGGACGAACCUCUGGUGUUCGGGUUGUGUCGCCAGACGCAUUGCCCGGUAGCUAAGUUCGGAAUUGAUAAGCGCUGAAAGCAUCUAAGCGCGAAGCGAGCCCUGAGAUGAGUCUUCCCUGACAGUUUAACUGUCCUAAAGGGUUGUUCGAGACUAGAACGUUGAUAGGCAGGGUGUGUAAGCGUUGUGAGGCGUUGAGCUAACCUGUACUAAUUGCCCGUGAGGCUUAACCAU